Molecule: non-coding RNA, 109 nt
Organism: Xylogone sp. PMI_703
Lineage: Eukaryota; Fungi; Ascomycota; Leotiomycetes
Source: the annotation of a GenBank genome assembly
GGGCGAAUGGUCUAGUGGUAUGAUUUUCCCUUAGCAACAGGCGAAGAACCAAAAAGUUCCGCACAACAGACAUUGGGAGAGGUCCGGGGUUCAAUUCCCCGUUCGUCCA